AAAAUCUACAAGGAAGUCUUCAAUUUCCUAAGCUUUUGAGAGUACCCGUCUGAGUCUAAGAAGAUACAGAGGCAGGCACUCCGUCGUACCGCAUCAAAAUUCACCUUAAAGGAUGGAGAGUUGUUCUUUGGAACCCGAAGAUUUGUGAAAAACGAGGAAGAGGCCUGUAGAAUCUUCGCGGAAUUUCAUGCAUCGCCCAUUGGAGGACAUUCCGGGAUCAACCGAACACGAUCGGAUCUGGCAUGGAAUGCAUGUUGAUAUUGCUAAAUGUAUCCAGGAAUGCCCUCAAUGCCAGAAGUCUGGAAAACCAAUCGCUGCUCCACAGCCGUUACAGUGUAUAAAGGUAUCCGCUGUCUGGGAGCUUGUCGGGAUCGACCUAACUGGUCCUCUUCCUAAGACAGUUGAUGGCUUCCAAUACAUCUUGACGGCUACGGAUUAUUUCUCCAAAUGGGUGGAGGCAUUCCCAUUGAGAACAAAAUCUGCUGCAGAGGUCAGACGCCAUAUCUGCUCCAUGGUAUAUCGACAUGGUUGUCCCAAGAGAAUCCUUUCGGACCAGGGUAGAGAGUUUGUGAACUGAACAGCCAACUGUGUUCCAUUUUGGGUAUCGAAAGAAGUGUUACAGCAGCGUAUCACCCACAGACCAACGGACUGGAUGAAAAGACCAAUCAUAAUAUCAAAAG
This is a long non-coding RNA of Bufo gargarizans (Asiatic toad), 680 nucleotides long. RefSeq lists it as uncharacterized. NCBI's taxonomy places the organism in Eukaryota, Metazoa, Chordata, Amphibia, Anura, Bufonidae. The transcript is spliced from 5 exons. The record is from RefSeq and is a predicted model, not a curated record.